Molecule: ribosomal RNA, 253 nt
Filed under: uncultured bacterium
Lineage: Bacteria
Description: partial 16S ribosomal RNA
Rfam family: Bacterial small subunit ribosomal RNA
Source: RNAcentral
GACAGAGGGUGCAAACGUUGUUCGGAAUUACUGGGCGUAAAGCGUGUGUAGGCGGUCCGCUAAGUCGGGUGUGAAAGUCCAGGGCUCAACCCUGGGAUGCCGAUCGAUACUGUCGGACUAGAGUUCGGAAGAGGCGAGUGGAAUUCCCGGUGUAGCGGUGAAAUGCGCAGAUAUCGGGAGGAACACCAAUGGCGAAGGCAGCUCGCUGGGACGUUACUGACGCUGAGACGCGAAAGCGUGGGGAGCAAACAGG